CUUGCUAUCUGCUGACGAGCGGCGGACGGGUGAGUAAUGCUUGGGAAUAUGCCUUUUGGUGGGGGACAACAGUUGGAAACGACUGCUAAUACCGCAUAACGUCUACGGACCAAAGUGGGGGACCUUCGGGCCUCACGCCAAGAGAUUAGCCCAAGUGGGAUUAGCUAGUUGGUGAGGUAAUGGCUCACCAAGGCAACGAUCCCUAGCUGGUUUGAGAGGAUGAUCAGCCACACUGGAACUGAGACACGGUCCAGACUCCUACGGGAGGCAGCAGUGGGGAAUAUUGCACAAUGGGCGCAAGCCUGAUGCAGCCAUGCCGCGUGUGUGAAGAAGGCCUUCGGGUUGUAAAGCACUUUCAGUCAGGAGGAAAGGUUAGUAGUUAAUAGCUGCUAGCUGUGACGUUACUGACAGAAGAAGCACCGGCUAACUCCGUGCCAGCAGCCGCGGUAAUACGGAGGGUGCGAGCGUUAAUCGGAAUUACUGGGCGUAAAGCGUACGCAGGCGGUUUGUUAAGCGAGAUGUGAAAGCCCCGGGCUCAACCUGGGAACUGCAUUUCGAACUGGCAGACUAGAGUGUGAUAGAGGGUGGUAGAAUUUCAGGUGUAGCGGUGAAAUGCGUAGAGAUCUGAAGGAAUACCGAUGGCGAAGGCAGCCACCUGGGUCAACACUGACGCUCAUGUACGAAAGCGUGGGGAGCAAACGGGAUUAGAUACCCCGGUAGUCCACGCCGUAAACGAUGUCUACUAGAAGCUGGGGUCUUCGGACAACUUUUUCAAAGCUAACGCAUUAAGUAGACCGCCUGGGGAGUACGGCCGCAAGGUUAAAACUCAAAUGAAUUGACGGGGGCCCGCACAAGCGG
This 858-nucleotide ribosomal RNA is filed under the name Pseudoalteromonas sp. 11-Cc-C1-1. Its description in RNAcentral is "bacterial SSU rRNA". It matches the Rfam family "Bacterial small subunit ribosomal RNA", at positions 77 to 932 of the family's 1533-position model. Lineage: Bacteria; Pseudomonadati; Pseudomonadota; Gammaproteobacteria; Alteromonadales; Pseudoalteromonadaceae. The record is from RNAcentral. RNAcentral also lists the same sequence under 1 other name.